Long non-coding RNA from Gorilla gorilla gorilla (western lowland gorilla), 3789 nucleotides. RefSeq lists it as uncharacterized. The record is from RefSeq and is a predicted model, not a curated record. NCBI's taxonomy places the organism in Eukaryota, Metazoa, Chordata, Mammalia, Primates, Hominidae. The transcript has 3 exons.
CACAGUGGCGCGCCGUUCCGAGCAAUGAGACUGCAGGCACAGGUGCGGCCGGAUUCUCUGUCGCUGUCCCGCGCUGAGUGAAUUUUGCCUCGGAGCUGGUCCGAGGUCGCGCCUGCUCUUUUGUGUGCCCAAGGCAGAUUUCCAGAAGUAGAAAUCUGUCUUCUAACUCUAAGGCCUUGGGAGAUGAAGGAUCCGUGAUUCAAAGGCAGAAAUAGAUGGAGUCUUGCUGUGUUCUCCAGGAUUGAGUACAGUGGCUAUUCACAGAUGUGAUCAUACUACACUACAGCCUCAAACUCCCGGGGUCAAGCAGUCCUCCUGCUUCAGCCUCCUGAGGAGCUGGGACUACAGGCCCACAUCACCAUGCCCACUAGAUUCACAGUCAUUUUGCUUGUGGAAGGUCUUGCCUCAAUGUUGAUAGGUGCUGACUGAUCAGGGUCAGGUUGCUGACUGAUCAGAAUGGUAGUUUCUGAAUGUUGGGAAUGGCUAUGGCAAUUUCUUAAAAUAAGACAACAAUGAAGUUUGCUGCAUUGAUUGACUCCAUAUCACAAAGGAUUUCUCCAUAUCAUGCAAUGCUGUUUGAUAGCAUUUUACCCAUAGUAGAACUUCUUUCAAAAUUGGAGUCAAUUCUCUCAAACCUUGUCUCUGCUUGGUCAACUAAGUUUAUGCACUAUUCCACAUCCUUUGUUGUCAUUUCAACAAUAUUUACAGAGUCUUCACCAUGAAUAGAUUCCUUUUCAAACAACCACUUUCUUUGCUCAGCCAUAAGAAGCAACUCUUCACCCAUUCAAGUUUUAUCAUGAGAUUGCAGCAAUUCAGUCACAUCAAAUUCCACUUCUAAUUCUAGUUGUUUUUCUAUUUCCACCACAUCUGCAGGUACUUUCUCCGCAGAAAUUUCAAACCUCUCAAAGUCAUCCGUGAGGGUUGGAAUCAACUUCCAAAUUUCUGUGAAUGUUGAUAUUUUGACCUCCUCCUAAUCACAAAUGUUCUUAAUGGCAUCUAGAAUGGUGAAUCUUUUCCAGAAGGUUUUCUAUGUGCUUUGCCCAGUUCCAUCAGAAGAAUCACUGUCUGUGGUAGCUCUAGCCUUAUUAAAUGUAUAUUUUAAAUAAUAACACCUAAAAAUCAAAAUGACUCCUUGAUCCAUGGGCUGUAGAAUAGACAUUGUGUUAGCAGUCAUGAAAACAAGAUUAAUCUCAUAUAGCACCAUUAUAGCUCUUGGGUGACCACGUGCAUUGUCAAUGACCAGUAAUAUUUUGAAAGAACACUUUUUUUUUUGAGCAGUAGGUCUGAACAGUGGACUUAAAAUAUUCAGAAAGCUGUGUUGUAAACAGAUGUGCUGCCAGCUAGGCAUCGUUGUUCCAUUUAUAGAGCACUGGUAGAGCAGGUUUAGCAUAAUUUGUCAGGACCCUAGGAUUUUUGGAAUGGUAAAUGGGCACUGGCUUCAACUUCAAGUCACCAACUGCAUUAACUCCUAACAAGAAGAGUCAGCCUGUCCUUGAAAGUUUGAAAACAGGCAUGGACUUCUCCUCUCUAGCUAUGAAAGUCUUAGAUGGCAUCUUCUUCCAAUAGAAGUUGUUUCAUGUACAUUGAAAAUCUGUUGUUUGGUGUAGCCACCCUCUUUGAUGAUCUUAGCUAGAUCUUCUGGAUAACUUGCUACAGUUUCUACAUCAGCACUUGUUGCCUUACCUUACACUUUUAUGUUAUGGAGAUAGCUUCUUUCCUUAAACCACAGGAAUGAACCUCUGCUAUCUUCUAGAUUUUCUUGGGCAACUUCCUUACUUCUUUCAGCUUUCAUAGAACUGAAUAGUGUUAGGAUCUUGCUCUGGGUUAGGUUUUGGCUUAAGGGAAUGUGGUAGCUGGUUUGAUUUAUUUAGACCACUAAAACUUUCUUCAUAUCAGCAUUAAGGCUGGUUUGCUUUAUUAUCAUUUAUGUGUUCACUGGAGUAGCACUUUAAAUUUCCUCCAAGCUUGUUUGCUUUUCAUUCACAAUGUGGCUGUUUGGUGCCAAGAGGCCUAGCUUCCCAGUCUUGGCUUUCAACAUGCCUUCCUCACUAAGCAUAGUCAUUUCUAGCUAUUUAUUUAAAGUUAGAGAUGUGCAACUCUUCUUUCACUUGAACACGUAGAGGCUAUUGUAGGGUUAUUACUUGGCUUAAUUUCAAUAUUGUUGUGUCUGGAGGAAUAGAGAGGCCUGGGGACACAAAGAGAAAUGGGGAACAGCUGGUCACUGGAGCAGUGAGAACACACGCAACAUUUAUUGAUUAAAUUCGCUGUUUUAUGGGCUCGGUUCAUGGUGCUCCAAAACAAUUAUAAUAGUAACAUCAAACAUCACUGUUCACAGGUCACCAUAACAGAUAUAAUGAUAAUGAUAAUAAUAAUAAUGUUUGAAAUAUUGCGAGAAUUACCAAAAUGUGACUCAGAGAAACAACAAAGUGAGCACAUGCUGUUGGAAAAAUGGUACUGAUAGACUUGAUCCAUGCAGGGUUGCCACAAACGAUUAAUUUGCAAAAAAAACAAACAAAAGAACAUGCAGUAUCUGUGAAGCACAAUAAAGCAUACUGCAAAUAAAAUGUGUGCCUGUCCUGUAUUAACUUUGUUACUAUUUAAUCUAGCAUUUCCCAAAAUGUGUUUCUUGGAAUACAACUAGUCUUAUGAUUCCCCUAACCUGAACUGGUUCUCUGGGAAUGCACCCACAGGAGGAUAGGUCCUUGGGUGAUCUUGGCCAAUCCAGCUCUCCCUGCAACUUGUAGUUCUCAGAAUAACCGAGAAUGCAACUUUCUGAGAUAGAGAGGUAAUGUCCAGAAUAAUCCAUAUUGUGUCCUUGUUCCUCCCAGAACAGGGUGUACUGCAGCGCUUGUUCUCAGUGAUCCUAGUGCCACCUAGAGUAUAAAACCCAGAGCACAGUGCUUUCAGUGUCCCUCAGCUGCAGUGGGAUGUGGAGCACACACAGAUAAGACCCUUUCCACACUCAGCAGCUUUCUUGAGCCUUAGAGGACUGGCUUGCUGUGGAUCCUAGGCUUCUAUUUAUUCCUGCUGCUCAUCUAUCUGUGCAUAGUAAAUCUUUGUCUAGCCUGUGUGAGUGUUCUGUCUCUCUCACCAGACUCAUGCGAUUGGUAGAGAACCUUUGCGACAAUUUUGGGAGACAUGUAAAAUAUAUCCUUGGUGAAAAAUCCCAAAAUAUAUUUGCAUAUUAAGUGUUUAGAGAAGGUUUUCUGUACCUAUUACUUAAACCUAUUGAACUUUUCUAUAGUCCAGUACUUCUUGAAGUGUCAGCUUAGCCAAUUCCCAUUUUCUGUGAGUUGCUUACUCCUCUAUUCACCCACAGGAGGGAUUCCUAAAGCUGUACCUAUUCUGUGGGACUUUACCUCUACCUGGUCUCAGUUUAUUGGAUUAAGGUUGAACACCUAAACCAAAGAGACCCAAUUAAUAAGCUGAAGUAAAGAGCAUCAUGUUCUCUUUGGACACUGGACAGAUGGAUGUUGAUGAGCUUGUGUGCAGCACUUCUACUGGAAGUAUGUACAAGGGGCUCAGCCAGCCAAUUUGGACGGUGUAUGUGAUAAGCAGAGAAAGGCAGCAGUCUGCAGAGACUGCAGAAUGAAAAAAAAAAAAAAAGCAGAAACCCAGAGAGAAAUCAGACAAAAGACCAGGUGGUGGGCAGGGGUCUGGGGAUUAUCCAAGCUUAAAAUUCAGGGUCUCUAAACUUGAACAGGCUGAUUUCAAAGCUGUGGGCCUAGCAAUGUGUUCACAUAGCAAUUUGGCUUUGUAAAAUUUAUAAAAGUAAGAUAUUUUAACCAC